GCUACAUGCAGUCGAGGGGCAGCACAAGUGUAGCAAUACUCUGGUGGCGACCGGCGCACGGGCGAUUAUCGCGUAUGCAACCUACCUUCCACAGGGGGAUAGCCUUCCUUAAGGGAGAUUAAUACCGCAUGAAACAGGGGCCCCGCAUGGGGAUAUUUGUUAAAGAUUUAUCGGUGGAAGAUGGGCAUGCGUUCCAUUAGCUAGUUGGGGGGGUAACGGCCCACCAAGGCAACGAUGGAUAGGGGAACUGAGAGGUUUAUCCCCCACACUGGGACUGAGACACGGCCCAGACUCCUACGGGAGGCAGCAGUGAGGAAUAUUGGUCAAUGGGCGGGAGCCUGAACCAGCCAAGUCGCGUGGAGGGCGACGGUUCUAUGGAUUGUAAACUCCUUUUGCACUGGGGUAAAACGCGGGACGUGUCCCGCCUUGCAAGUACAGUGCGAAUAAGCAUCGGCUAACUCCGUGCCAGCAGCCGCGGUAAUACGGAGGAUGCGAGCGUUAUCCGGAUUUAUUGGGUUUAAAGGGUGCGUAGGCGGCAAUCACUAGU
Molecule: ribosomal RNA, 547 nt
Filed under: uncultured bacterium
Lineage: Bacteria
Description: bacterial SSU rRNA
Rfam family: Bacterial small subunit ribosomal RNA
Source: RNAcentral